GACGAACGCUGGCGGCGUGCUUAAUACAUGCAAGUCGAACGGAAAGGCGCUGAUCUUGCUGGGUGCUCGAGUGCCGAAGGGGUGAGUAACACGCGUGUAUCCCGCCCCUGUCUUUGUGAUAUCAUCUGGAAACUGGGGCUAUUAUCGCAUAGGAGCUCCUGCUGCACGUUGGUGGAUGGAAAGUUUCGGCGGUUGUGGCUCGUCUCGCGGCUUACCCGCCUCUUGGUCGGGUAGGGGCUUUCGAAGGUUUUGACGGCUAGCCGGCCUGGGCGAGUGGCCAGGCACAUGAGGACUGAGAUACGCACCAGACGCCUACGUGAGGCAGCAGUGGGGAGUAUUGCACAGUGGGCGGGAGCCUGAUGCAGCAACGCCGCGUGCGGGAUGACGGCCUUCGGGUUGUAAACCGCUUUCGCCUGUGACGAAGCGUGAGUGACGGUAAUGGGUAAAGAAGCACCGGCUAACUACGUG
This 468-nucleotide ribosomal RNA is filed under the name uncultured bacterium. RNAcentral describes it as "partial 16S ribosomal RNA". It matches the Rfam family "Bacterial small subunit ribosomal RNA", at positions 28 to 507 of the family's 1533-position model. The record is from RNAcentral.